This 23-nucleotide non-coding RNA is filed under the name Cricetulus griseus (Chinese hamster). The record is from RNAcentral. Lineage: Eukaryota; Metazoa; Chordata; Mammalia; Rodentia; Cricetidae.
UUUUUAUAGUCUGGAGUUUGAGG